CACGUAGGAGGCAAGCGUUAUUCGGAUUUACUGGGCGUAAAGCGCACGCAGGCGGUUCGAUAAGUUGGAUGUGAAAGCUCCUGGCUUAACUGGGAGAGGUCGUUCAAUACUAUCGGACUUGAGGAUGAGAGAGGGAGGUGGAAUUCCGGGUGUAGUGGUGGAAUGCGUAGAUAUUCGGAGGAACACCAGUGGCGAAAGCGGCCUCCUGGCUCAUAACUGACGCUCAUGUGCGAAAGCUAGGGUAGCAAACGGG
Molecule: ribosomal RNA, 253 nt
Filed under: uncultured bacterium
Lineage: Bacteria
Description: partial 16S ribosomal RNA
Rfam family: Bacterial small subunit ribosomal RNA
Source: RNAcentral